This 315-nucleotide unclassified non-coding RNA is filed under the name plant metagenome. RNAcentral describes it as "partial contains 5.8S ribosomal RNA, internal transcribed spacer 2, and large subunit ribosomal RNA". The stretch from base 1 to 105 matches the Rfam family "5.8S ribosomal RNA", at positions 50 to 154 of the family's 154-position model. The record is from RNAcentral.
GAACUGCGAUAAGUAAUGUGAAUUGCAGAAUUCAGUGAAUCAUCGAGUCUUUGAACGCACAUUGCGCCCCCUGGCAUUCCGGGGGGCAUGCCUGUCCGAGCGUCAUUGCUGCCCUUCAAGCCCGGCUUGUGUGUUGGGUCGUCGUCCCCUCCGGGGGACGGGCCCGAAAGGCAGCGGCGGUACCGCGUCCGGUCCUCGAGCGUAUGGGGCUUUGUCACCCGCUCGAUAAGGACCGGCCGGGCGCCAGCCGGCGUCUCCAACCUUUUUUUCUCAGGUUGACCUCGGAUCAGGUAGGGAUACCCGCUGAACUUAAGC